CCUACGGGGCGCUGCAGUGGGGAAUAUUGGACAAUGGGCGAAAGCCUGAUCCAGCCAUGCCGCGUGUGUGAAGAAGGCCUUCGGGUUGUAAAGCACUUUCAGUGGGGAAGAAAGCCUUGGGGCUAAUACCCUCGAGGAAGGACAUCACCCACAGAAGAAGCACCGGCUAACUCCGUGCCAGCAGCCGCGGUAAUACGGAGGGUGCGAGCGUUAAUCGGAAUUACUGGGCGUAAAGCGCGCGUAGGCGGUCUGAUAAGCCGGUUGUGAAAGCCCCGGGCUCAACCUGGGAACGGCAUCCGGAACUGUCAGGCUAGAGUGCAGGAGAGGAAGGUAGAAUUCCCGGUGUAGCGGUGAAAUGCGUAGAGAUCGGGAGGAAUACCAGUGGCGAAGGCGGCCUUCUGGACUGACACUGACGCUGAGGUGCGAAAGCGUGGGUAGCAAACAGGAUUAGAUACCCGAGUAGUC
This 465-nucleotide ribosomal RNA is filed under the name Vreelandella stevensii. RNAcentral describes it as "partial 16S ribosomal RNA". It matches the Rfam family "Bacterial small subunit ribosomal RNA", at positions 338 to 795 of the family's 1533-position model. The record is from RNAcentral. Lineage: Bacteria; Pseudomonadati; Pseudomonadota; Gammaproteobacteria; Oceanospirillales; Halomonadaceae.